UGUAGGAGUGAGCCUGCUCGCGAUAGCGGUUUGUCAGUCGACUCAUCGGGCUCUGACAGACUGCUAUCGCGAGCAGGCUCACUCCUACA
RNAcentral lists this unclassified non-coding RNA (89 nucleotides) under Pseudomonas moraviensis. Lineage: Bacteria; Pseudomonadati; Pseudomonadota; Gammaproteobacteria; Pseudomonadales; Pseudomonadaceae. The record is from RNAcentral.